Molecule: long non-coding RNA, 326 nt
Filed under: Homo sapiens (human)
Lineage: Eukaryota; Metazoa; Chordata; Mammalia; Primates; Hominidae
Description: HSALNT0125213
Source: RNAcentral
UUUUGUUUAGAAGUAUGCUAUUUUUAUUAAAGACUGCCAUUUAAGCAGCUGGACAUCAGUAAAUCAUUGAACUUUUAAAUCAUUCUUCAUAUUGUACCCUAAGGGGUCUGAGAUUUUUUCCUUACCACUUUUUCAAAAAACUAAAGUAGGACAAAAAGCCAACAAAAAUGUCUCCUACACAUUUACUUUUAAUUAUAUUCAGCCUCAUUUUUAGUCAUUUGUUUUACCUGGAAAUAAUCUUUCUAGUGUACUAAUUGUUCCAAUAUACUAAAGGUUCUAAUCUCAAUGUAAUUGUCUCACUUAAUAUUGAACUAUUAAAUAGCCAC